RNAcentral lists this ribosomal RNA (722 nucleotides) under uncultured bacterium. RNAcentral's name for it is "bacterial SSU rRNA". It matches the Rfam family "Bacterial small subunit ribosomal RNA", at positions 62 to 773 of the family's 1533-position model. The record is from RNAcentral.
UCGAACGGUAACAUAAAGAAGCUUGCUUCUUUGAUGACGAGUGCCGUUCGGGUGAGUAAUGCUUGGGAAUCUAGCUUAUGGAGGGGGAUAACUACGGGAAACUGUAGCUAAUACCGCGUAAUAUCGAAAGAUUAAAGUGUGGGACCUUCGGGCCACAUGCCAUAGGAUGAGCCCAAGUGGGAUUAGGUAGUUGGUGAGGUAAAGGCUCACCAAGCCGACGAUCUCUAGCUGGUCUGAGAGGAUGACCAGCCACACUGGGACUGAGACACGGCCCAGACUCCUACGGGAGGCAGCAGUGGGGAAUAUUGCGCAAUGGGGGCAACCCUGACGCAGCCAUGCCGCGUGAAUGAAGAAGGCCUUCGGGUUGUAAAGUUCUUUCGGUAGCGAGGAAGGCAUUUAGUUUAAUAGACUAGGUGAUUGACGUUAACUACAGAAGAAGCACCGGCUAACUCCGUGCCAGCAGCCGCGGUAAUACGGAGGGUGCGAGCGUUAAUCGGAAUAACUGGGCGUAAAGGGCACGCAGGCGGACUUUUAAGUGAGGUGUGAAAGCCCCGGGCUUAACCUGGGAAUUGCAUUUCAGACUGGGAGUCUAGAGUACUUUAGGGAGGGGUAGAAUUCCACGUGUAGCGGUGAAAUGCGUAGAGAUGUGGAGGAAUACCGAAGGCGAAGGCAGCCCCUUGGGAAUGUACUGACGCUCAUGUGCGAAAGCGUGGGGAGCAAAC